Long non-coding RNA from Lolium rigidum, 652 nucleotides. RefSeq lists it as uncharacterized. The record is from RefSeq and is a predicted model, not a curated record. Lineage: Eukaryota; Viridiplantae; Streptophyta; Magnoliopsida; Poales; Poaceae. The transcript has 3 exons.
UUUGUCCUGAAAUAAUGUAGGUUGCCCUCAUAUCUCGAGAAGAUAUUGUUGUGAAAUGUAGUGCAGAUGCUUGCAAAAAAAGAUUAGAAACAAUGGAUAGUUAAGAGGGCUAAGUUGCUGAAAUAUUAACACCUGACUGAAAAAUGAAUGCAACCAACUUUAGCAUUCGUAAGGAAGGAGAAGCAAGCUUGGCUCAAGGAUUUUAACUAUGAUGUAUUUUGCCCUGGGAACAGGCAAUACGAGCAUUUCAAUAAGGUUGCAGUGGUGGUGAAUGACCUACUACUAAAGCCGGGUAAGCAAUUCAUUUUAUAUUAUUUUCCAAGUAAUUUUGGAGAAAACAGAACAAGUGCAUUACUCCGUGUGGGAACAAUUUGUUGCAGCUGAAUGCAACUAUAUUUUCCUAUUAUAGCAGUUUCUAAAGCUGGACGCUUCUUGCCACAUUAAAAGUUAGGUUUUGACAACUUUAAUUAAAAUAUAAUUUGUUUCUAUUACCUCGGAAAAACCAUCUUUGCAAUGGUAAGGAUAGCUGUAACUUGUAACUGGUCGGUCAGGCGGGGUAGGGAUCGAUUAAUACAUCAAGUUCAUGUAGUGCUCAAGAUUUUAAUCUUUUUUGAGAUUGCGACUUUUUAAGCUUGGUAUGAACUGGAUGCCA